GUGUGAGCUAAUUCCAAAAAAAUGUUGGUUGUUCAAGAAUCUAGAAGCCUCCAGUUUUCUUGCUGUGAAGGCAAUAAGUUAAAGUUUUCCACACACCACCUGAGGCUUCUGUUGUGAGUGGUGUAGGAAACACACUAGAAAGCAUGUGUUCGCCUUCGGGCGGCUUUCUAGUUGAUAGUCAUGAACCUUCAAUGUUGCAGCUAGCUUGCCAACUACCAAGGCCUUGUGGUGAUAACAUAACUGGACGACAACCCGUUGUACUUUUUAUUGGAAACUUUUCUCCGUUUAAAACCUUGAUCAAAACCUGCCGGGCUGAUGCUGCUUAUUGAGAUAAGGGAUACCGCCAGGCAUCAAGACCAUAGGGCAGCACAAGAAGAGAACAUCGACAUUUUACAGAUGAAAUAUCUGCCCGACUUCAUUGUCCUUGAACAGAAGGUGACAGAAGACCCUUCUGUUUCUGCAGAAGUGGUAUGAUAAAAAAUUCAAAAUGUUGAAAGUUGGAUGGGCAACCCUUAAGGAAAAUAUCAACCCAAUCCUGAAGAGGUAAUUGAAUAUUAGAUAUUUUGUACAGAAUGUAUUUUUUUUUACCAGUACAUGAGAAUAAGGUGAAUAUUUUGUGCUUGUUUUAACUUUCUAAUGAUAUUGCAUUUAUUAAUACAAUUUAAAGUAUUUUGUGUGGUGUUUGCAGAUUUCUGAACAAUGAGGUCCUUCAAAUGCUCUUUCUAUAAACAAAAUAUGGAUUCUUGUGUUUGAUAGAUUCCUGAUACUUUGUGUUUGCCAGAUGUAAUAAUAAAGUCUCUUAAUUUUGAACUCAGAAUGCCUCUUGAGAAACCACAAGGGGACGCUGAGUGCUGUACGAAGUGCGACCAUGUCAUGCCUGAAAUAUGCGCCUGACAGAUGCAGUGGCAGUGGCACGUAGACUUAAGAAAGCUCUAUAGAACAUUUUUUUUAGGACAGUUCUAUAGAACGUUGGUCCUAAAGUUCUAUUGCAUUUCUAUAGAAUGUUUCUAUAGAAAAUUUUUAGGAGUAAAAGAAAAAAAAAAGUGCUGUUGCUUUAAUAAAUGUUGGGGUACGCGAAUAAUAGAAGAAAAAGUGGUGAAACUGGACGAGAUUCUCUUUUUUUUUUCGUAAAAAGGUCUGGUCUGAAGCCAAAGUAGAAAGUACAGGAUGAGAUGGUGUAGAAUGUUAAAAUUCCACCUUGGCACAGCCUGAUUGAGGAUGAAAGCACAGACAAUACAGAAAACAAAAAGUUAAUUCUGUUUUUUUAAAUAUAGGAGGCAACAUAUCAUUAACUCUAAAACUGUUUCGGAGCAUUAUUCAGCUUUCAACAUGCAUUGCUGAAGAUAUUCUGCAAGCAAUAAUUCAGUUUUACACCAAGAACAACAGAUGGGGAUAUGAUUGUGGGUUAAAAAAAAAUGAAACAAAGUGCAAGCGACAUUUCAAAUUUAUAGUUCAUAGUUGACUUG
Long non-coding RNA from Syngnathoides biaculeatus (alligator pipefish), 1466 nucleotides. RefSeq lists it as uncharacterized. NCBI's taxonomy places the organism in Eukaryota, Metazoa, Chordata, Actinopteri, Syngnathiformes, Syngnathidae. The record is from RefSeq and is a predicted model, not a curated record. The transcript is spliced from 3 exons.